GUAAGCCCAUUGAAGCGAGAGGAUUCGUCGCCUUCGCAGAGAGAGAAAAUAAAGUAGUGAUAUGACAAAGCAGGACUGGGUAUAGAAAAAGGAGAAACUGAUGGAUUCUGCCAGCGAGAUAGGCGCUCAAGGAGCUAGGAGUGCUGUAGCAAUGGAUGUAUAUUCGACCAUGAAGAUUCUUGAUGAUUUAGAUUUCAAGAGCUGGAUGGAUUGGAAAAUUAUUAUGGAACUUGUCCUUGGUUUGAUGGACUUGGACCUUGCCCUUCUUGAAGACAACCCAAGAAGCCUCUGAAUAGCUCUUCUGAAGACACAGAUCGAUAUGAAAAAUGGAAGAGAAGUAAUGGCCUAAGCCUUUUAAUGAUGAGAAAGAAAAUAUAUGAUGGUAUAUAUGCUCUUGUGCCAGAGACUAACCAAGGUGAUGUUAAACAAUUUUUUUGCUGCCCUUGAAAACUUAUUUCUGAAAAUUGAGAGUGCAAAGAAGUUGGAAAUGUCAAACAAGUUACAGAAAAUGAAAUAUGAUAUUGAGAGGAGUGUGUCCAACCACAUCAUAAAAAUAUCCAGUUUUGCCUAGAGGCUGAGAGCUGCAUGGUUUUCUGUUUCUGAUCCUGAUAUUGUUUUUUAAUUGGUAGACCCUCUUCCUGAAGAUAAGUUUGUGAAUGUCAAAACUUUAUGCGAUGACCGAGAGGAAGAGUGGGGAUUGGAUGAGCUAAUAUGCAGGUGUGAAAAAGCAGAGAGCGUAUGCCACAUGCUGAAGAGUAAUAGAACUGUUUCUGGUGAAAGAGAGGGGAUGGGAAAUGAUCAGCUGGGAGAAAAGCCAAACAGAAGAAGGCACUAUAAAUUUUAUACUUCUGGAAGGACAGGACACUUAAUGAAGGACUGCAAGCAGAUCAGCAGCAGGUGAAUGUUAUUGGCAGAAGGCAAAGACACUGAGCUUAGUUUUCACAUUUAAUUGGAGUCAUUGCAUGUUUGUAGCAAGAAGGUGGAGGCAACUGAAUAUGAUUUGUUUUUUGUCCUCUUAAUUGUGCACCUUUUGUUCUAAUGGUAUAGCUCUCAGUUGCAUAUUUUGCACUUUCUUGAUGUCAGAAUUGGUAACAGAUUUGUUAUCUUUGCUUGUUUUGUGUGUUUACUUUCUCAGUUGAAGCUUCUAAAAACCUAUAACUCUGAAUGAGUACAAGAAAUCAUGGGAUUAGACUUGUUGCUACAUUUUUUUU
Molecule: unclassified non-coding RNA, 1211 nt
Filed under: Hevea brasiliensis (rubber tree)
Lineage: Eukaryota; Viridiplantae; Streptophyta; Magnoliopsida; Malpighiales; Euphorbiaceae
Source: RNAcentral